This 161-nucleotide ribosomal RNA is filed under the name Ephemerocybe bispora. RNAcentral describes it as "Coprinellus bisporus 5.8S ribosomal RNA". The stretch from base 1 to 120 matches the Rfam family "5.8S ribosomal RNA", at positions 35 to 154 of the family's 154-position model. Rfam says of the family: 5.8S ribosomal RNA (5.8S rRNA) is a component of the large subunit of the eukaryotic ribosome. It is transcribed by RNA polymerase I as part of the 45S precursor that also contains 18S and 28S rRNA. Functionally, it is thought that 5.8S rRNA may be involved in ribosome translocation. Lineage: Eukaryota; Fungi; Basidiomycota; Agaricomycetes; Agaricales; Psathyrellaceae. The record is from RNAcentral.
GAUGAAGAACGCAGCGAAAUGCGAUAAGUAAUGUGAAUUGCAGAAUUCAGUGAAUCAUCGAAUCUUUGAACGCACCUUGCGCUCCUUGGUAUUCCGAGGAGCAUGCCUGUUUGAGUGUCAUUAAAUUCUCAACCUCACCAGUUUUGUCAUGAGACUGUGUA